This is a non-coding RNA of Vicugna pacos (alpaca), 7130 nucleotides long. Lineage: Eukaryota; Metazoa; Chordata; Mammalia; Artiodactyla; Camelidae. The record is from RefSeq and is a predicted model, not a curated record.
AAAUUUUUCAAACGAGAGCGCCAGGCGGGACGCAGAGCCGGGGGAGCCCGUGGCCUGGGCCUGUGCAGCGCCAUGGGCUCCCAACAGUGUGGGAUGUGUUUCUGAGCCAAGGAACGCUGACCCCGCAACCGAAUCUGCACGCGCGGUGCGCGCUCUACUCUGCCAGCGGCUCUAACGUUGCUUCCUCAGUAAGAACUUCUGAAUAACGGGGUCCGACCACUGCAUGUGUCCCCGCUGCAGGCCUGGGGUUGCUUCGGCUGCUUCUGUCUGAGAGGUUUAAGUGAUAACAUGAUGGAUCAACUGAGAAAAUCACAGAAGUGGCCAAUGCAGGGACAGAGCCCGGGGCUUGGCAGCCAUUAGGUGACCUGAGUCCGCCAGCACAGCGCCUUUCAAGCCCAGCGGCCAGUUGUUGGCAUGACCACCGGCUCCACAGGAGAGCCCCCAGAGGACUAUUUCCUGGCUAUGUGAUCAGCCUGCCAGUUCUUCGAGAUGCUCCAGUCCAGCCUGUUUAUCUUGGGAGCCACAGCAGGCACAAGCCCCCCCCCGCCCCCCUGCUCCCCCCAUGUGAUUACAUCUUUUCUCGGUCGUGGGGUUGGGCUGGCCUUUUGUACGAUGCUGAGCCACAGUGGGACGGGCAUCUUCCCCCUUAUUUUUAUCAGGCGCUUUUAUUCCCUGGGUUGUUUUGUUAAGUGUGCCUGUUUUUGAUUUUGCUCCCGGUCAGGAAAGGGGCCUGGGAUUCAGGGAGAUUAGAUGCCCUGGUGUGUUGAUGGGUCUUUAAAAGAACGAAGCAGGAGUUGAUCACGUGCUGAAGCUCAGGGCCAAUGCAGAGCUGCCUCCCAAGAGGCCAAUCAAUUUCAAUUAAGGAGAUUAAAAGCCUGGAGCCCAGAGCCGGCUGGUCACGCGUUUCUGAAUGCCUUGCUUCUCCAGCAGCCUGAAAGCAGGCCAGGGGCCCCAGGAGCGCUGGACAGCAUCCUGGGGGCCAGCGUCAGGACAGCAGUGAGAGGUCAGAUGCAAAAGGAGAAGCUGGCUCUCCACUCUUCAGGGGGCCCUCCUGGCAUUUGGGGCAGGACUGACCUGUCAGUGUUCUCCACCCAUUAAGUAUCCAGACCCACAUCACUGGGCCAUCCCAACCCAUCCCAACCCAACCAGACUCCUACACACACUUCCAGGGUGGAACUGGGCAGCUGCCUCUGAUCUGCUGUCUGGCAGAGGGGCAAGCCUUCUGUGGCUUCCAGGUGGGGAGCUGAUUCUCCUGGUCUGGAUCCAACUCCUCCAAUGGGCGUCCCGGAGGCUCGUGUCUGCUACAGUCCUCACUGGAUUCCAGGUGCCCACCUUCCCUAACUGCUCCGGCAUCCCAGGGGCCACACCUCCAGAGGGGUAAGGGCAGAGGCCAGAGCGGGAGGUCUGGUGGAGGAGAGGGGCUUUGGCAGCCCACAGAUCAGGGCUGAGCCCCCUCACCUCCACUUCUUGGUGGCUCUGCGUUGGCCCUGAGUCAGCACGGACCAGCCUGCGCUUGUUUUUCUUUUAAGACCAGUGGACACCCCAGGGCAUCCAAUCUGUGCCCAGGCAUCCAAGAGAGCCUCACUUUCCACGUUUAUAAAAGGGAGCUACCCACUCCCCCACCAGCCUGCCUCACGGGGUUUGCCAGGCUCACAGGAGGUACUGUGUGUUCAUAAACGUCCGAUGUCCCCUGGCCCCUCUGACUGCAGUGGCACUGGGUAGACAGGGGACCCGGGGCGAAAUUACACUCAGCUCCCUGGAUCUGGUGACUUUCAUUCAGAAGCCAACACAUCACCAGUAUCGCAAGGAUUUGACCAAUGUGCUUUGUCCGCUGUAAACACCAGUUACUUGCGGAAGGAGGGGGCAGGAGCACCAGGGUCAUGGGAGGAGGAGUGUGCGGGAUGCAGGGGAGGAAGGAGGAGGGGCCCUCCAGGAGCGGGAGUGGCGUGAGGACGAUGGAAACCACGGGCACGUGUUGGGCAGGAGAGAAGUGGCCCUGGAUGGAAGCCAGAUGCAGCCUGCGGCACAGCAGAGACUUGCUGGGAACCCCAGGAGGCUGAAGCCACGUCCCCCCAGCCCCUGGGCGUGAUGUUCUCUCUAAGGACUGGCUGUUCGUCGUGGGCCUCUUCUCCCUACUCUCCUGUUAACAGGACAGCCUGGAGAGUGAAGAGGGUGGUGGGGUCGGGGGGCUGGUUUCAGGUCUUUUGGCUGCUUGUUUGGUUAUCGAAAGGACAGGAUAGCCUCUGUGGAAAGUGACCUCAUCAAGAAGUGUGGGGUCACAGAGCCCCGAGCCCUCGUGGGGAGCCAGGCGCAGGGCAGGUCCCGGACUCCCCCAAGGGCACCUUCCUCAGUAGCAGGGCCAGUCUCCUGCUGCCCCCUCCUCACCCCCAGCCUCCCGGGCCUCUCUUCCAUGACCUACCUCUCCCAGGAUAACCGAGCAAUGAUGCCGGGAGCCGCAGGCUUCCGUUUGCUGACAAGAGCCAGGAGGGCUGUUCAUAAACCUUUAAAGUGUCUGGACCUUUCUCUCAAACAACAACAAGAAUAAGUCUCAAGCAGGUUGUUUUAUACAGAAAAGGUCUUGUUCUUGAUACCAAUUUAUUUUACCAAUGCAGAAAAAUGGAACUUCCCAUGGAUACCAAAGAGGAGGAAAUGAUUGCUGUAAGGAACUCUGAGGUCGCGAGGAGAGGGGUAGAAGAGCUUGCAAGUCCCACCUCGGGGUGGGCCUGGCUGUGGGUGGGAUGGGAUCGUGAGCCCCGUCCUCCCUUCCUGCGGGGUGGCCAGAGGGCAGGGCGGCCGCCAAGCCCGGCAGCAGGAAGGGUAUGGGGUGUGAUGCAUCCGGGGCAUCUUGUGUCCUGGAGAACCGGCUUGGUCAUGUUACGUCACAUCGUGUCAUGGGAACCCACACCGAUUUUGAUGAAGACCCAAGGGAAGAAAUGCUGCCCGUGGAGGAAGCCCUGGGUGGCAGGAGACCCUGCUGCCAGCUCGGCUCCUCGGGCUGUGAGUGGCAGAGCCAGAAUCUUGGUCCGUUCGCGCUGCUACGACAAAGUGCCACAGCCUGGGGGGUUAAACCACAGACGUUUACUUCCCACAGUUCCGGAGGCUGGAAGCCUGACAUCGAGGUGCUGGCCAAUCGGUCCCUGGCAAGGUCUCCCUUCUUGGCUUGCAGAUGGCGGAGAGAGAGCUCUGGUGUCUCUUCCUCCUACAAGGACACUCACCCCAUCACGGGGGCCUCAUGCUCAUGACCUCACCUAAACCCAAUGCCCACCCAGAGGCCCAUCUCUGCGUACCAUCCAUCACACUGGGGGUCAGGGCUUCAGCGUGUUGGGUCCAGGGAGACGCAGACACAGCCUGUGAUGCCUGGGCUCGGUGUCUCCCCGUCAUCUCUGUGUCGCCUCCAUCAGUUAUGCUGGCCUCUGGGCAGCACUGUCCAAUGUCUGCAGUGAAGGACCAGUUUUCUUAUUUGCAAUGAGGUAUGACAUGUGCUGAGAAAAAUGAGAUUCUUGUACAAAAUACAAGCUCAUUUCUUUUUUUAUGAUUGGGUUCCACCGACCUACUGUUGCUGUUGAAUUGGUGUGGACACUCUGCUCACCCUCGCUUUCUGUCUCCUCACCCUGGAGCAGCGACCAAGCUUUCGAGGUCUUCCCUCCAUGGACCACCCUUUCAGGGGUGCUUUCGAGAGCCCCCCGGAAAGCCCACCAUCAGCCCUGGGGCGGUGGAGUCUGAAGCUUCCAGAGACAAAAUGCCAUGAGCCCCAGCUGGGGAGGGCCUCCCUGGGCCAGUUCCGCUCUGUCACCCGGGGACGUGGGGCGCCUGUCAGGAGGAGGGUGGUCUGGUCCCGUCUCGGUAUUCUGAGGUGCCAAAAGCACAGGCCUGAGUCAGAGACCGCAAGGCAAAUCUGUCUCCCCGGCUCGUGAGCUGUGGAAUUUGGGGUGAGCUCUUAACCUGUCGUGCCUCAGUUUCCCCGUCUAGCAGAUGGAGGAGGUGAUGGUAGCUUCCUGACAGGGAGGUUGUGAAGACUGAGUGAGGCGGUGACUGGGAAACACUUCACGUGGUGCCUCCUCACUCUGUUCCUCCUUCAGAAAAAGCUAGCGUGUGCCUCUCUCACAGCGGGGAGGCAGGACUCCGCCCCUGGGGUGGAACCGUGCGCUUUACAAGAGCGCAGAGGCCUCUUUCCCCAAAUCACAGGAUGUCAGAACAAAAUGUGGCAGUGGGCACAACUUCUUCCCAGGAAGGUGGGAUGUCAGCGCAGCUGCACACCGGUCAACCAGAUGGCUCGAAUUCCAAAUCCUUCAUUGAGAUCUGCUGGGGGAUGACAUCCUGACCAAAGAGGACACUGACCUCUGUGAUAUCUGAAAUAAACACGAGGCCUGUGAGCACCAAACGGCAGGCAUGCCUGUGGUUUCGGGGCUUCACACAGGAAGCCUCAGAGGCACCACCUUGGAGCAUCGCGAUGGAUGUCAGGGGCCAGGGGGCGGGGGCCUCUGAUCCCUCAUGGACUGUUCGCUUGCUCGGGCUCCUGUAACAAAGUAUCGCAGGCCGGCAGCUUAAGCAACAGAAAUUUAUUGUCUCAAGGCUCUAAAUGUGGGAGCAAGGCACCGGUCGGGCUGGUUGCUUGUGAGGGCAGGGUCUGCUCCAGGCCUCUCUCCUGGCCUGUGGGUGGUCAUCCCCUUCCAGUGUCUUCACAUCUUCUUCCCUCUGUGCCCGUCUGUGUCCAAAUGUCCCCUUCUUAUAAGGACACCAGUCAUGUUGGAUUAGGGCCACCCUGAUCAUGUCAUUUUAAAUUAAUUAACCUCUUUAAAGCCCUAUCUCCAAAUGUAGUCACAGUCUGACGUGCGGUGGGGAGAGCAGUUAGGGCUUCAGCAUAUGGAUCCGGGGGAGGGGGCAGGGGGGCAAUUCAGCCCAUAACAGCCCUUUACCCCACUGGCCUCCAUUUCACCAGCAGAGCAAUAGUGGGUGAGCCUACGACCGCCUGAUUUCUCCUGAGUUUAAGCACAUUAAGGCUCAGCCUUGUGGACCAGCCUUCCAAGUGCAGCUGAGUGUGUGACUCGGGCCACGUAAUCUUUCCAGGUUAAAAUGUCUAAAGCACAGACAAUAAAAAUAAGACAUAGCAUCCAUUUGUCGCCCCAGGUGCUCUGAGCAUUAAGUUAUGGUCACAGCAGGGAUGCGGGACAAUCAGUCCUCGGACAGAAUGACGCAGAGGCAAGUCCACCAGCAGCACCACUAGCACAAAACAAGCUUCAAACCAACAGGAGAAGACGAGAGCGUAACGCCUCCCUAACAACCCCACUUCACUGAUGCAAUGCCAGGAAAACGACGUUAGAUUCCACUGAUUCUCCUUGAGAUCUAAUAAAGUGCUUUAUUCAGAUCUUAUUCACAUACCUCUUCCUCCACGGGUCCAUCUCAGGAGCUGAAGGUGGCUAGCUGCAAACAGAACUGGUUCUGCUGUCAUUUGAAAUCACAGAAGUGAAUGCGUUUUCUAACGCAAAAGCUACCAUGCUUUCUUUGGGAAACAGGGCACGGUUGGAAAAAAAAAUCUCAGUUCUAAACAAAAUUGAAAGCAUGGCUAACUUGAGAUUUGUUUGAUUACAAAGUCCUUCUCAGGGUUCAUCAGUGUUAGAACCCAUUCCUCCUGGCACUGAUGAGCCAAUAAAAGAUCCAAAAGGAGAGAAGAAAGUAUCCCGUCAACUCAGAGAAACAAGGUUGUUCAUUUUUCCAAAAGGCGUUGGAUUAAUGUUUAUACUGCUGAGUCAGAUUAUUUAUACAUCAGCUGUAGGUUUUGCAUCUCCAGAGUUUGUUAGCAUUCAGAGCAUGAUAAAUUGUACCUGACUUACUUGUGAAAAAUCAUCUCGAGAAAGAUUUUUUUCCCUUUGGGGAAAUAUGUAAAUGCCACAUGGUGGUGUACAGCCAGAAACACUCAGCAGGAGGGAGGGGGUUUGGGAUGUCACAACGCAUGGUUGAGAAUUUCGGCUUUGGGGGAGUGUCUUGACACUUCUCAAGUCACGUCACCUCUGAACCUCGACUUCACCGCCAGAAUAGGUUCCAAACUCCGGGCUUUCUGUAAAUACUCAAUGGGACGAUACAUGCACAGAAUUCUGCACUAAUGCACCCAGAGGCCAAAUACGAAUCCAAUAAGUGCCAGCUUUUCUUUCAUUAUUACUACAGAGAAUCUUGGCAUGCUUCAUAUUUCAUCUGUGGAAAAGUCACAGAAAGGAUUAAAUUUGUUGGGGAAAAAGUGUCUUGGGCCCCCUUACUUAGCACCUGUGUUCUCUGUCUGUUCUAAGAAGUGAUGUUAACAAAUUAGCAGGUGUUAGGGAGGUGUGGAGCAACCAGGACCCUCGUACAUUGCUGGUGGGGAUGUAAAAGGAUGCAGAACUUUGGGCAAACUCUUUAGUGGAUCCUCAAAAGGUAAACACUGAUGUGGCCCAGGAGGCUAACUCCACGGUACACACCCAAAAGAACUGAAAACAGGUGUCCAGACAAAAACUUGUUCAUAAGUGUUCAUUGUAAGAUUAUUCACAAGAGACAAAAGGUGGAAAGCUACAGCUGAAGUGUCUAUUAACUAAUGAAUGGAUAAACCGAAUGCAGACCUGCCAGGCAGUGGAAUUUCAUCUGCCAACAAGCAACAGUGAGGUGGCCUCAUGCUCCAACCUACAUAAACAUGACGCUGAUGGAAAUAAACCAGUCACAAAAGGCUACAUAUUGCGUGAUUCCAUUCAUAUGAAACAUCCAGAAUAAACAAGUCUAUAGAAACAGGAAGUAAUUAGCGGUUGCCUGGGGCUGGGAGCAAAGGCGGGCCCCCGGGGGUGGCGCCUAAGGGGUAGGCGCUAGGUUUCUUUUGGGAAUGAUGAACAUUUUCUGGAAUUAGACAGUGAGGAUGGUUGUACAAUUCUGUGAAUAUAUUUAAAAACACUGAAUUGUACACUCUAAAAAUGGUGGAUUUUAUGGUUUAUGAAUUAUAUCUGCAAAAAAAAAAUCAAUGAAUGCUUAAUGUGAAAAAUAAGAAAACAGGGAAACAAAAUUUGUUAUUGCAGCAUCCAAAGAUAAUCACUGGAAAUGUUUGAAGUCGAUCCUUGCAGACUCUGAUACAAUUAUAUACAUUAAAAAAAAUAAAAUGGGAUCAUACAAGUACA